RNAcentral lists this ribosomal RNA (1347 nucleotides) under uncultured bacterium. RNAcentral's name for it is "bacterial SSU rRNA". It matches the Rfam family "Bacterial small subunit ribosomal RNA", at positions 28 to 1381 of the family's 1533-position model. The record is from RNAcentral.
GACGAACGCUGGCGGCGUGCUUAACACAUGCAAGUCGAACGGAAAGGCCCUGCUUUUGUGGGGUGCUCGAGUGGCGAACGGGUGAGUAACACGUGAGUAACCUGCCCUUGACUUUGGGAUAACUUCAGGAAACUGGGGCUAAUACCGGAUAGGAGCUCCUGCUGCAUGGUGGGGGUUGGAAAGUUUCGGCGGUUGGGGACGGACUCGCGGCUUAUCAGCUUGUUGGUGGGGUAGUGGCUUACCAAGGCUUUGACGGGUAGCCGGCCUGAGAGGGUGACCGGCCACAUUGGGACUGAGAUACGGCCCAGACUCCUACGGGAGGCAGCAGUGGGGAAUAUUGCACAAUGGGCGGAAGCCUGAUGCAGCAACGCCGCGUGCGGGAUGACGGCCUUCGGGUUGUAAACCGCUUUCGCCUGUGACGAAGCGUGAGUGACGGUAAUGGGUAAAGAAGCACCGGCUAACUACGUGCCAGCAGCCGCGGUGAUACGUAGGGUGCGAGCGUUGUCCGGAUUUAUUGGGCGUAAAGGGCUCGUAGGUGGUUGAUCGCGUCGGAAGUGUAAUCUUGGGGCUUAACCCCUGAGCGUGCUUUCGAUACGGGUUGACUUGAGGAAGGUAGGGGAGAAUGGAAUUCCUGGUGGAGCGGUGGAAUGCGCAGAUAUCAGGAGGAACACCAGUGGCGAAGGCGGUUCUCUGGGCCUUUCCUGACGCUGAGGAGCGAAAGCGUGGGGAGCGAACAGGCUUAGAUACCCUGGUAGUCCACGCUGUAAACGGUGGGUACUAGGUGUGGGGUCCAUUCCACGGGUUCCGUGCCGUAGCUAACGCUUUAAGUACCCCGCCUGGGGAGUACGGCCGCAAGGCUAAAACUCAAAGGAAUUGACGGGGCCCCGCACAAGCGGCGGAGCAUGCGGAUUAAUUCGAUGCAACGCGUAGAACCUUACCUGGGUUUGACAUGGAUCGGGAGCGCUCAGAGAUGGGUGUGCCUCUUUUGGGGUCGGUUCACAGGUGGUGCAUGGCUGUCGUCAGCUCGUGUCGUGAGAUGUUGGGUUAAGUCCCGCAACGAGCGCAACCCUUGUUCACUGUUGCCAGCACGUUAUGGUGGGGACUCAGUGGAGACCGCCGGGGUCAACUCGGAGGAAGGUGGGGAUGACGUCAAGUCAUCAUGCCCCUUAUGUCCAGGGCUUCACGCAUGCUACAAUGGCUGGUACAGAGAGUGGCGAGCCUGUGAGGGUGAGCGAAUCUCGGAAAGCCGGUCUCAGUUCGGAUUGGGGUCUGCAACUCGACCUCAUGAAGUCGGAGUCGCUAGUAAUCGCAGAUCAGCAACGCUGCGGUGAAUACGUUCCCGGGGCU